ACCUCUUGGCAGUGGGGCAAGAAGACACCUGAUUGGUAGUGCUGCUCUUAUAUCUGUCAGGGGGUAAGCAGACAUACAGUCCUUAGUUCAUGAUGUCUGUGUUUGUAGCCAGAGCUGAUUCAUGCUUGGGACACAUUA
This is a small nucleolar RNA of Myotis daubentonii (Daubenton's bat), 138 nucleotides long. RefSeq annotates it as small nucleolar RNA SNORA48. NCBI's taxonomy places the organism in Eukaryota, Metazoa, Chordata, Mammalia, Chiroptera, Vespertilionidae. The transcript has a single exon. The record is from RefSeq and is a predicted model, not a curated record.